AGCGCCGGACUGUUAAUCCGUAGGUCCCUGGUUCGAGCCCAGGUCGGGGAGCCA
RNAcentral lists this transfer RNA (54 nucleotides) under Burkholderia pseudomallei 1258b. Its description in RNAcentral is "partial tRNA-Asn". It matches the Rfam family "tRNA", at positions 22 to 71 of the family's 71-position model. Rfam says of the family: Transfer RNA (tRNA) molecules are approximately 80 nucleotides in length. Their secondary structure includes four short double-helical elements and three loops (D, anti-codon, and T loops). Lineage: Bacteria; Pseudomonadati; Pseudomonadota; Betaproteobacteria; Burkholderiales; Burkholderiaceae. The record is from RNAcentral.